AGGGCACCACCAGGAGUGGAGCCUGCGGCUUAAUUUGACUCAACACGGGGAAACUUACCCGGCCUGGACACUGGAAGGAUUGACAGAUUGAGAGCUCUUUCUUGAUUCAGUGGGUGGUGGUGCAUGGCCGUUCGUAGUUGGUGGAGCGAUUUGUCUGGUUAAUUCCGAUAACGAACGAGACUCUAGCCUAUUAAAUAGGCUCCCGGCUUUUAAACGCCGGGAGGACUUCUUAGAGGGACAGGUGGCGGUUCAGCCGCACGAAAGAGAGCAAUAACAGGUCUGUGAUGCCCUUUGUUGUCCGGGGCCGCACGCGCGCUACACUGAAGAGAUCAGCGUGCUUUAUGUUCCUGCUCCGACCGGAGUGGGGAACCCAGUGAACCUUCUUCGUGAUUGGGAUAGAAGAUUGUAAUUAUUCUUCUUGAACGAGGAAUUCCCAGUAAAUGCGAGUCAUAAGCUCGCGUUGAUUACGUCCCUGCCCUUUGUACACACCGCCCGUCGCUACUACCAUUGAACGAUUUA
RNAcentral lists this ribosomal RNA (519 nucleotides) under uncultured eukaryote. RNAcentral's name for it is "SSU rRNA". It matches the Rfam family "Eukaryotic small subunit ribosomal RNA", at positions 1161 to 1700 of the family's 1831-position model. The record is from RNAcentral.